CCCUUAGAUGUUCUGGGCUGCACGCGCGCUACACUGAUGCGUUCAACGAGUGUACAUCCUUGCCCGUUAGGGUUGGGUAAUCUUUUGAACACGCAUCGUGAUGGGGAUAGAUUAUUGCAAUUAUUAAUCUUCAACGAGGAAUUCCUAGUAAUGGUGAAUCAUCAGUUCAUCGUGAUUACGUCCCUGCCCUUUGUACACACCGCCCGUCGCUACUACCGAUUGAAUGAUUUAGUGAGGACUUCGGACUGGGACCGAUGCGGCUUUCGGGCUGCGUCGGUAUUCUGGAAAGAUGUCCAAACUGUAUCAUUUAGAGGAAGUAAAAGUCGUAACA
Molecule: ribosomal RNA, 331 nt
Filed under: uncultured eukaryote
Lineage: Eukaryota
Description: partial 18S ribosomal RNA
Rfam family: Eukaryotic small subunit ribosomal RNA
Source: RNAcentral